RNAcentral lists this transfer RNA (69 nucleotides) under Rattus norvegicus (Norway rat). It matches the Rfam family "tRNA". Rfam says of the family: Transfer RNA (tRNA) molecules are approximately 80 nucleotides in length. Their secondary structure includes four short double-helical elements and three loops (D, anti-codon, and T loops). The record is from Rfam by way of RNAcentral. Lineage: Eukaryota; Metazoa; Chordata; Mammalia; Rodentia; Muridae.
GGGGAUUUAGCUCAGUGAUAGAGCGCUUGCCUAGCAAGCGCAAGGCCCUGGGUUCAAUCCCCAGCUCCG